AGGACGAACGCUGGCGGCGUGCUUAACACAUGCAAGUCGAGCGAGGCCCUUCCUUCGGGAAGGUGCCCUAGCGGCGAACGGGUGAGUAACACGUGGGCAACCUGCCCCUAGCACUGGGAUAACUCCGGGAAACCGGGGCUAAUACCGGAUAUGACCUUCUUGGGCAUCCUCGAAGGUGUAAAGGAUUCUGGCUAGGGAUGGGCCCGCGGCCUAUCAGCUUGUUGGUGGGGUAAUGGCCUACCAAGGCGACGACGGGUAGCCGGCCUGAGAGGGUGACCGGCCACACUGGGACUGAGACACGGCCCAGACUCCUACGGGAGGCAGCAGUGGGGAAUCUUGCACAAUGGGCGAAAGCCUGAUGCAGCGACGCCGCGUGAGGGAUGACUGCCUUCGGGUUGUAAACCUCUUUCAGCAGGGACGAAGCGAAAGUGACGGUACCUGCAGAAGAAGCACCGGCCAACUACGUGCCAGCAGCCGCGGUAA
This 483-nucleotide ribosomal RNA is filed under the name uncultured bacterium. Its description in RNAcentral is "SSU rRNA". It matches the Rfam family "Bacterial small subunit ribosomal RNA", at positions 26 to 523 of the family's 1533-position model. The record is from RNAcentral.